Paramuricea clavata is the source of this 277-nucleotide non-coding RNA. Lineage: Eukaryota; Metazoa; Cnidaria; Anthozoa; Malacalcyonacea; Plexauridae. The record is from the annotation of a GenBank genome assembly.
AAAUAAACUUUAUUCGAAUUAGUGCGGUGUAAAACUGCUUGGGCCCCUUGGUUAGAAAUCAUGGCUACGUCACUGAUUUGGUUGACUCAAAUUAUAACUUUGGAAUGAAUGUAUAAUUAUCUUUAGAAUAAUAGGACAUUCUUAUUGUGGCUACAGACCGCAGUGCUAAGUUAUUGUGAAUAAGCGAGAUUGACUACAUGUUUGUGAUUUUUCUGAGAGCGAUUUGCGUGAGUUGGCAUGAACCGUGAGUUCAUUGAAACCGCAGCGAAGUGGCAGC